CAAAACCUGGUUGAUCCUGCCAGUAGUCAUAUGCUUGUCUCAAAGGUUAAGCCAUGCAUGUCUAAGUUUAAGCCCUCGAAUGGCAAAACUGCGAAUGGCUCAUUAAAACAGUUAUAAUUUCUUUGGUGGAAAGUUUUACUUGGAUAACUGUAGUAAUUCUAGAGCUAAUACAUGAAAACCAACCUGACUUUUGGG
RNAcentral lists this ribosomal RNA (195 nucleotides) under uncultured eukaryote. RNAcentral's name for it is "partial 18S ribosomal RNA". It matches the Rfam family "Eukaryotic small subunit ribosomal RNA", at positions 1 to 195 of the family's 1831-position model. The record is from RNAcentral.